Molecule: ribosomal RNA, 467 nt
Filed under: uncultured bacterium
Lineage: Bacteria
Description: partial 16S ribosomal RNA
Rfam family: Bacterial small subunit ribosomal RNA
Source: RNAcentral
GACGAACGCUGGCGGCGUGCUUAACACAUGCAAGUCGAACGGAAAGGCCUCUUUCGGGGGGUACUCGAGUGGCGAACGGGUGAGUAACACGUGAGUAACCUGCCCUUGACUUUGGGAUAACUUCAGGAAACUGGGGCUAAUACCGGAUAGGAGCUCCUGCUGCAUGGUGGGGGUUGGAAAGUUUCGGCGGUUGGGGAUGGACUCGCGGCUUAUCAGCUUGUUGGUGGGGUAGUGGCUUACCAAGGCUUUGACGGGUAGCCGGCCUGAGAGGGUGACCGGCCACUUUGGGACUGAGAUACGGCCCAGACUCCUACGGGAGGCAGCAGUGGGGAAUAUUGCACAAUGGGUGGAAGCCUGAUGCAGCAACGCCGUGUGCGGGAUGACGGCCUUCGGGUUGUAAACCGCUUUCGCUCAUGACGAAGCUUUGUGUGACGGUAGUGGGUAAAGAAGCACCGGCUAACUACGUG